Molecule: long non-coding RNA, 1493 nt
Organism: Octodon degus (degu)
Lineage: Eukaryota; Metazoa; Chordata; Mammalia; Rodentia; Octodontidae
Exons: 2
Source: RefSeq, a predicted model, not a curated record
AUUUUGCUCUGUAUUUAAUGUAGUGAAUGGGGAGUCAACAUUACCAUUGAACAAAACUUCUGAAACGGUACAAUGAAGCCAACAGAAAGCAGUCAUCUGUUAAUGGUUACUAUCCACUAGAUACAUCUGAGGUUGUAGGAUAUCAGGCUUUUACAGACAUCUGAGCAGACAUUGUGGGCACAGAACAUAAAUCUCACACAAGGCAUAAUUGAAAGUUAUUUCAAACAAAUUAUCAGUAAACUCCAGCGACAUUAACUUCAUGAAGUAAUAUGUUUUAGCAACAAACAGUGAUGGUAUGCAGGUGUAGGCCUGUCAUCCUAAACAUGGUGCACUAUAGUAUAUUGAGGUCAAAGCCUUUCUGUAGAAAGGGAAUUUAAUUGACAUUCUUUCAAGCAUAGUAUAUAAACAGAUCAAAAUAGUUCUAUUAUAAGAAAUAGUAUUUAACAACAUAUCUCUAAAAUAAAAAUACUUUAAAAAUCAGCUUCGAUGAGAUUAAAUUUAAAGAAUCUUCCUUUAGAGUGAAAUAUAUUCUCUUGCUUUCUGCUUCUGUUUUCCAGCAUAAUUCCCACCCUUACCCAUCUCAGUUAAUAAAGUAGUGCAAAAAACAUCGUGCAGCAGCUUCUCCCAUGUUUGGUCCCCUACCACGUCAGAGAAUUAAGACAUUCCCACUCACCAAAUCAGAAGUAUGUUCCCUCGAUACGCCAGGGCCUUAGGUACAAAAGCUGCUGUCAGGCUUGGGGAGUGCCGUUUCUAAGUACAGAUUUUAUGGUAAUUUGUGAAACAUUUUUAAAGGCAACCCCCAUACACAGUUUAUUUUACAAAACAGGUUUUCAUGCAUUCAUAUUAUCAAGAAUGUUUUUCAUAAAUGAAUGUAAUGAAACACUGCGUAUCACUUAACACACCGCAUUCUCCUCUACAUGAAAUUCACACUAACAACAAAAUUCAUGGUAGGUAAUUAAAGCGCUUCAGUAACCUAAUGAGAAAGCAGGUUUUUUUUUUUUCUUUGAGAACAUGUGAGUAUGAAAUAUUUUUAGAUGCACAAAGGUAUAAUUUGACUUCAGAAGCAAUGUGUAUUUCUUUUACUAGGCUUUUUUAAUAACUGAAUUGAGUUGCUAAUUUGCUAAUUCAGUACAAAUUAAAGUAGUGGUACAUAUAAAAAUUCAGAUAGGCAAUCAUUUAUAAACCUGGCAGUAUUUAUGUUAUGUAGUCCUGCAGAGAGUUUAAGGUUUUGGAUGGAAUGGUAGAAGGUUUGUAAGCUUUCUGUACAGUAUCUGAGAUUCUCUUGAAGGAAUAGAAGUACCUGUACACACUUGUUUAAAGCUGGCCUACUCGUACCUAAUUAAUUUGCACAGGAGUGAGUUUGGGGGUUUAUGUUAAAGUGAAAUGCAUUCUCUCCAUUAUUCAGGCUUUGGGUUUUUUUUUCCCCUUUUGAAAUGUAUAAAACAUAGAAAACUGUAAUGGAUUACUUUUCAGGUAAAAAAUAGUCACAUUCU